Molecule: ribosomal RNA, 543 nt
Filed under: uncultured Glomeromycotina
Lineage: Eukaryota; Fungi; Glomeromycota
Description: SSU rRNA
Rfam family: Eukaryotic small subunit ribosomal RNA
Source: RNAcentral
AGGGCAAGUCUGGUGCCAGCAGCCGCGGUAAUUCCAGCUCCAAUAGCGUAUAUUAAAGUUGUUGCAGUUAAAAAGCUCGUAGUUGAAUUUCGGGGUUAGUAGGUUGGUCAUGCCUCAGGUAUGUACUGAUCUCACUGACUCCUCCUUCCUGAUGAACCGUAAUGCCAUUAAUUUGGUGUUGCGGGGAAACUGGACUGUUACUUUGAAAAAAUUAGAGUGUUUAAAGCAGGCUAACGCUUGAAUACAUUAGCAUGGAAUAAUGAAAUAGGACGUUCGAUCUUAUUUUGUUGGUUUCUAAGAUUGACGUAAUGAUUAAUAGGGAUAGUUGGGGGCAUUAGUAUUCAAUUGUCAGAGGUGAAAUUCUUGGAUUUAUUGAAGACUAACUACUGCGAAAGCAUUUGCCAAGGAUGUUUUCAUUAAUCAAGAACGAAAGUUAGGGGAUCGAAGACGAUCAGAUACCGUCGUAGUCUUAACCAUAAACUAUGCCGACUAGGGAUCGGAUGAUGUUAAUUUUUUAAUGACUCAUUCGGCGCCUUACGGGAA